This 72-nucleotide transfer RNA is filed under the name Polymorphospora rubra. Its description in RNAcentral is "tRNA-Cys". It matches the Rfam family "tRNA". From Rfam's summary of the family: Transfer RNA (tRNA) molecules are approximately 80 nucleotides in length. Lineage: Bacteria; Bacillati; Actinomycetota; Actinomycetes; Micromonosporales; Micromonosporaceae. The record is from RNAcentral.
GGCCGUAUGCCCGAGUGGUCAGGGGACCGUCUGCAAAGCGGUAGACGCCGGUUCGAUUCCGGCUACGGCCUC